This 498-nucleotide ribosomal RNA is filed under the name uncultured bacterium. RNAcentral describes it as "partial 16S ribosomal RNA". It matches the Rfam family "Bacterial small subunit ribosomal RNA", at positions 28 to 507 of the family's 1533-position model. The record is from RNAcentral.
GACGAACGCUGGCGGCGUGCCUAAUACAUGCAAGUCGAACGAGAGCGCCCGGUGCUUGCCCUGGUCAAUCUAGUGGCGAACGGGAGAGUAACACGUGGGUAACCUGCCCAUCAGAGGGGGAUAACAUCCGGAAACGGAUGCUAAAACCGCAUAGGUCUUCGAGCCGCAUGGCUUGAAGAGGAAAAGAGGCGCAAGCUUCUGCUGAUGGAUGGACCCGCGGUGCAUUAGCUAGUUGGUGAGGUAACGGCUCACCAAGGCCGUGAUGCAUAGCCGACCUGAGAGGGUGAUCGGCCACAUUGGGACUGAGACACGGCCCAAACUCCUACGGGAGGCAGCAGUAGGGAAUCUUCCGCAAUGGACGCAAGUCUGACGGAGCAACGCCGCGUGAGUGAAGAAGGUGUUCGGAUCGUAAAACUCUGUUGUUAGAGAAGAACAAGUGCUAGAGUAACUGUUAGCGCCUUGACGGUAUCUAACCAGAAAGCCACGGCUAACUACAUG